This 155-nucleotide microRNA precursor is filed under the name Populus trichocarpa (black cottonwood). Its description in RNAcentral is "MIR2912 microRNA precursor family". It matches the Rfam family "MIR2912 microRNA precursor family". Lineage: Eukaryota; Viridiplantae; Streptophyta; Magnoliopsida; Malpighiales; Salicaceae. The record is from Rfam by way of RNAcentral.
UCUAGAACUCGAGAUAUGGGCUGAACACUGAACAGUGUCUGGGUUGUAGGACAGAUUCCGACUUCUCUAUUAUUGCUACAAUUUGAACUUAAAAUGGUCCUUUUAAAUCUUGGACUCUUCAUGAAAGUUUUAGGCCUAUGUCUUAACUUUCUAUC